GAGGUCGGAGGUUCAGUCCUCCCAGGCCCACCACUUCCUUUCGAUACGAAGGUUAUCAGGGGCCGUAGCUCAGCUGGGAGAGCGCCUGCUUUGCAAGCAGGAUGUCGUCGGUUCGAUCCCGUCCGGCUCCACCAACCAUCUUCUGCGAAGAUGGGGCGUGUCGAGUAGAGACGGUGAGAAAAAAGUCAUUCGAAAAAGAGUUUGCGUCGAGCCUCUUGGCUUAGCGCCUGUUCUGUUUGACAUCGUAAAGAGAAGAUUUGUUCGAACUUCAUGAGCCGCAAGGACCGUGAUUUGUCGCUGGAGACGCUCAAUCUCCAGCAUAUGAUGGGUUUGCCUAACCGCGCCCUCGAACGGAUCUCGAGAAGCUGGUCUUUUUGUGCCAAUUCCAACCAGUAAUACCCCGCACAGGGUGUUGCUGGAGCGACGAUCUCUUCGAGAUCGCGCUUAUGCGACGAUCCUUCGGAUCGCGCUUAGCCAAUCCUGCAAGGGCGAGGCUGAAGCGACGAUCCCUGCGGGAUCGCGCGAUGAUGGGUAUUGGCAAUGAGAACGAUCAAGUGUCUUAAGGGCAAUUGGUGGAUGCCUUGGCAUGCACAGGCGAUGAAGGACGUGAUACGCUGCGAUAAGCUACGGGGAGGUGCGAAUACCCUUUGAUCCGUAGAUCUCCGAAUGGGAAAAACCC
RNAcentral lists this unclassified non-coding RNA (679 nucleotides) under Mesorhizobium sp. LCM 3747. RNAcentral describes it as "partial 16S-23S ribosomal RNA intergenic spacer". The stretch from base 549 to 679 matches the Rfam family "Bacterial large subunit ribosomal RNA", at positions 1 to 129 of the family's 2925-position model. The record is from RNAcentral. Lineage: Bacteria; Pseudomonadati; Pseudomonadota; Alphaproteobacteria; Hyphomicrobiales; Phyllobacteriaceae.